AUUCCAGCUCCAAUAGCGUAUAUUUAAGUUGUUGCAGUUAAAAAGCUCGUAGUUGGAUUUCGGGUGUCAUCUGCCGGUCCGCCGUUUCGGUGUGCACUGGCGGGCGUCAUCUUUCUGUCGAGGACGCGCUCCUGUCCUUCACUGGUCGGGACGCGGAGUCGGCGAGGUUACUUUGAAAAAAUUAGAGUGUUCAAAGCGGGCUUACGCUUGAAUAUAUUAGCAUGGAAUAACACUAUAGGACUCCUGUCCUAUUUUGUUGGUCUUCGGGACGGGAGUAAUGAUUAAGAGGAACAGUUGGGGGCAUUCGUAUUUCAUUGUCAGAGGUGAAAUUCUUGGAUUUAUGAAAGACGAACUUCUGCGAAAGCAUAUGCCAAGGAUGUUUUCAUUA
RNAcentral lists this ribosomal RNA (388 nucleotides) under Crustomastigaceae sp. Its description in RNAcentral is "partial small subunit ribosomal RNA". It matches the Rfam family "Eukaryotic small subunit ribosomal RNA", at positions 582 to 975 of the family's 1831-position model. Lineage: Eukaryota; Viridiplantae; Chlorophyta; Mamiellophyceae; Dolichomastigales; Crustomastigaceae. The record is from RNAcentral.